This 253-nucleotide ribosomal RNA is filed under the name uncultured bacterium. Its description in RNAcentral is "partial 16S ribosomal RNA". It matches the Rfam family "Bacterial small subunit ribosomal RNA", at positions 524 to 776 of the family's 1533-position model. The record is from RNAcentral.
UACGGAGGGUGCAAGCGUUAUCCGGAUUCACUGGGUUUAAAGGAUGCGUAGGUGGGCAGGUAAGUCAGUGGUGAAAUCUCCGGGCUUAACCCGGAAACUGCCAUUGAUACUAUCUGUCUUGAAUACCGUGGAGGUGAGCGGAAUAUGUCAUGUAGCGGUGAAAUGCUUAGAUAUGACAUAGAACACCAAUUGCGAAGGCAGCUCACUACACGAAUAUUGACACUGAGGCACGAAAGCGUGGGGAUCAAACAGG